RNAcentral lists this ribosomal RNA (253 nucleotides) under uncultured bacterium. Its description in RNAcentral is "partial 16S ribosomal RNA". It matches the Rfam family "Bacterial small subunit ribosomal RNA", at positions 524 to 776 of the family's 1533-position model. The record is from RNAcentral.
UACAGGGGGUGCAAACGUUGCUCGGAAUCAUUGGGCGUAAAGCGCACGUAGGCGGUUCGUUAUGUCGGAUGUGAAAGCCCUUGGCUUAACCGAGGAAGUGCAUCCGAAACUGGCGAGCUAGAGUACUAAAGAGGAUCGCGGAAUUCCCGGUGUAGAGGUGAAAUUCGUAGAUAUCGGGAGGAACACCGGUGGCGAAGGCGGCGAUCUGGGUAGACACUGACGCUGAGGUGCGAAAGCGUGGGGAGCAAACAGG